UGGUAGUCCACGCCGUAAACGAUGAGUGCUAAGUGUUGGAGGGUUUCCGCCCUUCAGUGCUGCAGCUAACGCAUUAAGCACUCCGCCUGGGGAGUACGACCGCAAGGUUGAAACUCAAAGGAAUUGACGGGGGCCCGCACAAGCGGUGGAGCAUGUGGUUUAAUUCGAAGCAACGCGAAGAACCUUACCAGGUCUUGACAUCCUUUGACCACUCUAGAGAUAGAGCUUCCCCUUCGGGGGCAAAGUGACAGGUGGUGCAUGGUUGUCGUCAGCUCGUGUCGUGAGAUGUUGGGUUAAGUCCCGCAACGAGCGCAACCCUUAUUGUUAGUUGCCAUCAUUCAGUUGGGCACUCUAGCAAGACUGCCGGUGACAAACCGGAGGAAGGUGGGGAUGACGUCAAAUCAUCAUGCCCCUUAUGACCUGGGCUACACACGUGCUACAAUGGGAAGUACAACGAGUUGCGAAGUCGCGAGGCUAAGCUAAUCUCUUAAAGCUUCUCUCAGUUCGGAUUGCAGGCUGCAACUCGCCUGCAUGAAGCCGGAAUCGCUAGUAAUCGCGGAUCAGCACGCCGCGGUGAAUACGUUCCCGGGCCCUUGUACACACCGCCCGUCACACCACGAGAGUUUGUAACCACCCGAAGUCGGUGAGGUAACCUUU
This 657-nucleotide ribosomal RNA is filed under the name Enterococcus faecium. RNAcentral describes it as "bacterial SSU rRNA". It matches the Rfam family "Bacterial small subunit ribosomal RNA", at positions 788 to 1443 of the family's 1533-position model. Lineage: Bacteria; Bacillati; Bacillota; Bacilli; Lactobacillales; Enterococcaceae. The record is from RNAcentral.